Non-coding RNA from Paramormyrops kingsleyae, 1740 nucleotides. Lineage: Eukaryota; Metazoa; Chordata; Actinopteri; Osteoglossiformes; Mormyridae. The record is from RefSeq and is a predicted model, not a curated record.
GCUCGGAUACAUUCAGAUCAAGGCCGUAACUUUGAGAGCUCCCUCAUCCAGCAGCUCUGUGGUCUCUAUGGGAUCGAGAAAUCUCGCACCACUCCAUACCAUCCGGUGGGCAAUGGCCAGUGUGAACGCUUUAAUAGGACUCUCCACAACUUGUUGCGUACUCUGCCUGUGUCCCGGAAGAGAGAUUGGGAUUCCUGUCUGCCGCAGGUGCUUUAUUGUUAUAACACUACUCCCCAUCAGGCGACUGGGGAAUCUCCUUUUUUCUCAUGUUUGGUCAGGAGCCUAGACUGCCAGUGGAUUUCCUCCUAGGUAGAGUGGCGGAACCUGUGAGUGGAUAUGUCCAUGAGUGGAUUGAAGAACAUCAGACUCGACUACAGUUGGCAUUUGAAGGGGCAAGGGGACGGUUGAAGAUGGCAGCUGAGCGUCGGAAGAAGAACCAUGACCAGCAUGUUCGAGACUGCCCGCUAAGUGAAGGCCAGUUAGUACUCCUCCGUGAUUGCAGUACCAGAGGGCGUCAUAAAAUUCAAGAUUGGUGGAGUUCUGUGAUGUAUCGAGUUCUGAAAGCACCUAAAGCUGGUGGAGCAGUUUAUGCCAUCGUACCUGUGGAUGAUCAGACCUAGGUCAGGCACGUCCAUCGAACCUUGUUGAAGGCCAUAGUAAAUGUCUCCGGUGUCUGCCCUAGUAAUCCUUUGCCUAUGGAGUCAACUUUUGCAUCAGGUGAAUCCUCGGGUGAUGAGGACCUGGUGGUGUUGAGGCAGGGACGCCCUGGGGAGGUGUCUAGUUCUUCAUUGGCUAGGCCAGUGGCGAUGACAUGUGCUACUCAGGAGUCUCCUUUGUGGCCUGCUGAAGUUUCGGGCCCCUCAGUGGUUCCUCCAUCAGUAGUGAGUCAGCCACUUAUUUCCAGAGUGGUCCCAGUAAUGAGUCAGCCUGAUUCCCAGGAAGUGCGAAGGACGACCCGGGUAACUGCAGGCCAACACUUACCACCUUCCGAGGCCUGCAGGGGUGAUGGCAGAAAGGACUGUAAGCUCUCUGGGUUCUGUGUCUAAUGCAGUUUCUGCUCUGUUUAGACCUUGGAGUUAGAUUUUGUAUUAUCGUCGGGUCGACUAUAUAAAAAAAAAAGGGGGUAGAUUGUGGCAGAAUAGCUAUUUUGGGCGCUGUGCCUUUAAAUUUGCGGGGCGAUUAUUGGUUUCCAAGGUAGCACCCUAUAAAAGUGGCAGUGGUUGGCUGGGAAUCUAACGCUGGCAAGGUGUUCUUUUGGUUACCUGACUUCGCUGUUUAAAGAUCUGCAUACGACGGAUUCCUUGGAAGCUACUGCUUGGCAAUGCGGAGGGAGUUUAUCCAGCCAGUUGGGAAGAUCAUGACGUGCCAUUAAGUGCUGCUGUUUUGCCUGCUCUAUUACAGCUGUGGUCUGGAUUGCCUGCCCUCCAGUUGCUGCUGCUGCUUUGCCUCUUUGGUUAUAUUGUAAAUGUGGAUUGUAAUUCUGUUUUAACUGGUUCUUCCAGGUUUACCUUGUUAGAGCUAGGGUUUUUUUUAGUUUUGUGUGUUUUUUUUAAAGACUGUUCUGGGUUGAUACGCCACUAGGGAGGAAGGGAGCUUUGGUGUGGUGUGUGUGUGUGUGGCAGCAGGGCCCUGGUGUGUGUGCAUGGGGGUGUAGUGCUUUUGUUUUAGGAUGCCUGACUGCUUUACCUCCUGUCCCGUGUGCACCAGCCCAGAGGUUGUACUCUGUAUUGUGGACGGUGU